GGAUGAACGCUGGCGGCGUGCCUAAUACAUGCAAGUCGAGCGAACAGAUAAGGAGCUUGCUCCUUUGACGUUAGCGGCGGACGGGUGAGUAACACGUGGGUAACCUACCUAUAAGACUGGGAUAACUUCGGGAAACCGGAGCUAAUACCGGAUAAUAUUUCGAACCGCAUGGUUCGAUAGUGAAAGAUGGUUUUGCUAUCACUUAUAGAUGGACCCGCGCCGUAUUAGCUAGUUGGUAAGGUAACGGCUUACCAAGGCGACGAUACGUAGCCGACCUGAGAGGGUGAUCGGCCACACUGGAACUGAGACACGGUCCAGACUCCUACGGGAGGCAGCAGUAGGGAAUCUUCCGCAAUGGGCGAAAGCCUGACGGAGCAACGCCGCGUGAGUGAUGAAGGUCUUCGGAUCGUAAAACUCUGUUAUUAGGGAAGAACAUACGUGUAAGUAACUGUGCACGUCUUGACGGUACCUAAUCAGAAAGCCACGGCUAACUAC
Molecule: ribosomal RNA, 495 nt
Filed under: Staphylococcus sp. WBUSh3
Lineage: Bacteria; Bacillati; Bacillota; Bacilli; Caryophanales; Staphylococcaceae
Description: bacterial SSU rRNA
Rfam family: Bacterial small subunit ribosomal RNA
Source: RNAcentral